Brassica napus (rape) is the source of this 1471-nucleotide long non-coding RNA. RefSeq lists it as uncharacterized. The transcript is spliced from 3 exons. Lineage: Eukaryota; Viridiplantae; Streptophyta; Magnoliopsida; Brassicales; Brassicaceae. The record is from RefSeq and is a predicted model, not a curated record.
UCCGGUUAUUUUGCCCAGGCCUACUUUAUACAGUAAUAAAAUCUAAAAUUAAAUAAUUCUAAGUUGAUGUCUAACGGAGUAAUUUUAAAAAUAAUACAAUAACUAAAAGGGGAUAAGCUGAUCAUAGAGACCCUCCACGUCGGCAAUAAAAAUCAGCCAAUUAAAGAUCAGUAUGAUGCCACAUCACUCAAGCUUCGUCGCCCUAGCAUGUCUCUUCUUCUUCCCCUCUAUGUGUUUCUAACUUCUCCAAUUCUCAUCUGUAACGUCGGGCUCCAGAUUUGUCUUCUUUCUAUAAAUCGAUCAAAGAAAAUAACAUCAAGAAUCAAAAACGGCUGUUUCUAAAGGAAUCAGUGAUACAGAUAAAAAAAAACACCAUUCAAUGGAUAUAAAGGUCUUCUCUUUGUGGCUACUUGAUUUCAAUUUUCAGGUCAUCUUACUAUGAAUUCAUGUAUUAUUAAAGUUCUGCCAUAUAACCAUCAAGGAAGUUUUCAUAGUUUGAUAUUUGGAUCCAGAAAGGUUUUGAUUGGAUUUUCAAACCUUGGUUUUACAUUUUGACUCUUUUUUUAUUGUCUCAUUAUUAAGAAAUUGGGGAUUUGAUCUUCGCAGGAUUUGGUUAUUCUCAAAGGUCUGUAUACGGUUUUCGGAAUCUCUCCUCCGCCACCACUUGCACAAUUUUUAAACAGAGGUCUUCACACUCUGUCUUUGCCAGAAACAGCCAAGCCGGAGGUCGCAACUAUCUGCAAAAUUAUUGCAUGGAUGAACUUUGUGCUUCUUCCUCUAUCAUCAGAUAUGAUGAACUUUGUUUUUCCAGUUCAUGGUUUAAGCCUUUAAGUAGCAGGGCUACUGAAAGUAUGUUACUGAAACAUUCAGAGUUCACUACAGGAACAAGAAAGGUACACGUUUAAUUGCUAGAAGUCAUGAAGGUUGGGUUUCUUUGACACAAGAUCAAAAUCCAUGAGCUUUAGCGUUUGGAUCUGGCUAUUUUUGGGAAAGAAUGAUGUAGAUGUUUCAAUGUAUCAGGAUUGUACUCUGGUUGAACCCAAAUGGUGUUUGAAUGUUUCAGUACGAGUCUGGGUUCUCCAAAGGAAUCAUACGAGGUCGGCCAUGGUUAUGGGUUGUUGUUUUAGAAUGAAACAUACAUGUAUUAUAGUUGCUCAGAAUAUAGUUCUGGAGUGGUUUAUGUAUCUCUCAGUAUGUAAGUUAUCGGAGUUGUCGCGUUAAGGUCUGCUCUAGGUUAUGGUCAUUUGGCAUUUAUUUAUCAAACUAUGCAGUUGGUCUUUUUGAGGGCUCAUUUAUGGUUCUGGAUGGGUUUAUAAAGCUUUCAGUUUCAUUCAUUCUAUCAAGUUAAAAACACUCUAAGAAGGUGAUUAAGCCAAAAUCAUCACAGGAAUGGACUUUAUUGAUGGGAAAUGAGUCGGUUGCUCUCUGGUCUGUACUUUUAAAAUUUUUGGUAAAUGGUGGUUGCAAAGUA